UAACUGUUGACAACCGGACAUUUUAUUGAAGUUUUAAGACUUAUUUGUGAAAAUGGUUAAACGAUGCGGAUGGGGAAUAUGUUAUGCGGAUGAAAGGUAUCCGGAGGGACUAAAUGGAGGCGGAUUUAAACGAUUUCCUACCUAUAAUCCGACAUUGAAAAGUGCAAAUGCUGGAUUAAAGCCUGUGGACGGCCACACGAGAAACUGAAUGUUAACAGGAUAAACCAGCACGAAGAUGUCUGCUCGAAGCACUUUCAUGGAGGAAAUGGACCAUCUAAAGAGUAUCCUGACCCAUUAUCAGCUGAUGGCUGGAGAAUAACAUCUUCAAGAAAACUCCACACAAAGCGGUCACUUGGAAAGGAAACUUAUGGCAGCAUUUAUACACAAAAUGCAAGUGUAUGCAUUUUAUACAAGAUAUCACAUGCCUAGAAAAGCUGGUCCAGGAUCCUGCAGACACUGUACAAGGAGUAGAAACACAGACCGAAUGUCCAUGGACAUCACCUUUGGAUAUGUUUGCAUUUACCGCUCAGAAUGCUUCCCUAAAAGAACAGCUGU
Molecule: long non-coding RNA, 555 nt
Organism: Mya arenaria
Lineage: Eukaryota; Metazoa; Mollusca; Bivalvia; Myida; Myidae
Exons: 4
Source: RefSeq, a predicted model, not a curated record